UCAAAAUCUUUUUCUGCUCCACUUACCAUAACACGAUCUCAUAUUUGCUUUUUCCCUUUCUUAUAUAUAUAUCUUCCUUCCGAAGAAGAAAAUUCCAGGGCAAAAAAAUGGUUCGUCUUCCCAAAAAAACCAAUCAAAACCUAGAUUUCCGUUCCACGAAGGAUGAAGCUUGGUAUACAGUGAGUAAGCUAUCCCUGGAGAAAAACAUCCUCAUCGUAAGCUUUGAAGGGUUCGAUAAAGAAGAUGAUGAGAAGUUUAGUACCAAAGGUUUUAAAACUUCCAAACAGCUAGAUGAUUUCUUCAGGUGCAGGAUGAAGAGUGUCCUGAUUUGAGGAGUGGCUAUGAGGUAAUCCCUAAACGUCACAGACGCAAAGGAGGAAAAAUGACUUGUUUUUGUGCAUUUGAGGUUGGGUGGUCAGAAGGUCCAAAGGCAAGCAGUACUCAACAGAUGGGUAUUGAGGGAAUUUGCAAAAUUGUACAUGGCUCGCCGUUAUUUCAUCGAGCGCUCGAUUGUUUUAUGAAGAUGUCGUCAAAACAGCUCGAUUUGGCUUCAAAAAAAAAUCAAUUGCCGGUCAAAAAGAGAUCAAGGUAGAAUUGCAGGACUUUUUUUUCUCAUUUGCUAGUGAUAAAAUCUUUAUUUUAUAGAAUAUAUUUUGGACUUGGAAAUAUUUGAGUAUAGUUUUUCUUUGGAAUUAGUAUGUGAA
This is a long non-coding RNA of Papaver somniferum (opium poppy), 704 nucleotides long. RefSeq lists it as uncharacterized. The transcript has 2 exons. Lineage: Eukaryota; Viridiplantae; Streptophyta; Magnoliopsida; Ranunculales; Papaveraceae. The record is from RefSeq and is a predicted model, not a curated record.